Molecule: ribosomal RNA, 339 nt
Filed under: uncultured Bacillota bacterium
Lineage: Bacteria; Bacillati; Bacillota
Description: bacterial SSU rRNA
Rfam family: Bacterial small subunit ribosomal RNA
Source: RNAcentral
GACGAACGCUGGCGGCGUGCCUAAUACAUGCAAGUCGAGCGGACGUUUUAUUGGUGCUUGCACCGAUUUAACGUUAGCGGCGGACGGGUGAGUAACACGUGGGCAACCUGCCCUGUAGAUUGGGAUAACUCCGGGAAACCGGGGCUAAUACCGAAUAAUACUUUUUAACUCAUGUUAGAAAGUUGAAAGAUGGUUUACGCUAUCACUACAGGAUGGGCCCGUGGCGCAUUAGCUAGUUGGUGAGGUAACGGCUCACCAAGGCAACGAUGCGUAGCCGACCUGAGAGGGUGAUCGGCCACACUGGGACUGAGACACGGCCCAGACUCCUACGGGUGGCUG